AAAGUCUGGAGAAAUUAUUCAAAGUAGUCCUAAAUUGUUCAUCCUAUCCUGCCUUACCUUUCUCUCAGAAACCCCAAUAAAGGCCAUGCCUUACAACUUACCUUGCUCCUGUUUCUGCCUCCUGACCACUCUGGUCUUCCCCAUGUUGCCAUGUAUGGCAUGCCUCCUGUCUCUAGGACCUAUGCAGCAAAAGAGAAAAACAAUGAAAGUCUGUAUUAGUCACCAGAAAAAAGGUCAGAAGUCUGAGGUACCUAAGAGAAGACAGAAAAAUGAGAUCUGGAAUUUGAGAAGCGCCUGUUAGGAGAAGAGCCAUCUCUACUACUCCCCAAAAGAUUCUCUGUUCCAGUUGGCCUUCUAUAUUGUUGGUUUCUGAAUACAUACCCCAAAGAACUUGAGCAUCAGUGAAUUUUUGGUAUCUUCUGGGAACACUGGAACUAAUCGCUUGAAGAUACCAAGGGAUGAUUGUGUUUUCAAAG
Long non-coding RNA from Rhinopithecus roxellana (golden snub-nosed monkey), 476 nucleotides. RefSeq lists it as uncharacterized. Lineage: Eukaryota; Metazoa; Chordata; Mammalia; Primates; Cercopithecidae. The transcript is spliced from 3 exons. The record is from RefSeq and is a predicted model, not a curated record.